Molecule: unclassified non-coding RNA, 140 nt
Filed under: soil metagenome
Description: partial internal transcribed spacer 1
Source: RNAcentral
CUGAGUUUUCAACUCUCCCAAACCAUGUGAACUGUACCACUGUUGCCUCGGUGGUUUGGGUAUUCGGGCCUGACCACCGGCGGGACUACUAAACUCUGUUAAUUUGUGGCAUUCUGAAUCAUAACUAAGAAAUAAGUUAA